This 309-nucleotide ribosomal RNA is filed under the name uncultured Ferribacterium sp. RNAcentral describes it as "bacterial SSU rRNA". It matches the Rfam family "Bacterial small subunit ribosomal RNA", at positions 280 to 581 of the family's 1533-position model. The record is from RNAcentral. Lineage: Bacteria; Pseudomonadati; Pseudomonadota; Betaproteobacteria; Rhodocyclales; Azonexaceae.
UCUGUAGCGGGUCUGAGAGGAUGAUCCGCCACACUGGAACUGAGACACGGUCCAGACUCCUACGGGAGGCAGCAGUGGGGAAUUUUGGACAAUGGGGGCAACCCUGAUCCAGCCAUGCCGCGUGAGUGAAGAAGGCCUUCGGGUUGUAAAGCUCUUUCAGCCGGGAAGAAAAUGCAUGGGUUAAUACCCUGUGCAGAUGACGGUACCGGAAUAAGAAGCACCGGCUAACUACGUGCCAGCAGCCGCGGUAAUACGUAGGGUGCGAGCGUUAAUCGGAAUUACUGGGCGUAAAGCGUGCGCAGGCGGUUU